Molecule: ribosomal RNA, 253 nt
Filed under: uncultured bacterium
Lineage: Bacteria
Description: partial 16S ribosomal RNA
Rfam family: Bacterial small subunit ribosomal RNA
Source: RNAcentral
UACGUAGGGGGCAAGCGUUGUCCGGAAUCAUUGGGCGUAAAGCGCGCGUAGGCGGCCCGGUAAGUCCGUUGUGAAAGUCAAAGGCUCAACCUUUGAACGCCGAUGGAUACUGCCGGGCUAGAGUCCGGAAGAGGCGAGUGGAAUUCCUGGUGUAGCGGUGGAAUGCGCAGAUAUCAGGAGGAACACCAAUAGCGAAGGCGGCUCACUGGCCCGAUACUGACGCUGAGGCACGAAAGCGUGGGGAGCAAACAGG